UAGUGUGUGGGUUUGAUCCUGGCUCAGAAUGAAUGCUUACAACAUGCUUAACACAUGCAAGUUUAACAAUUAAAUAAAUAUAUUUAAAAGUAGCGUACGGGUGAGUAUGACAUUAAUUGAAGAUUGCCUUUAAGUUUAAGUAAUAUAUUAUUAUUAAUGAUAAUAAUUAAUAUAAAUCUUAGAUAAUAAAAAAUUUCUUUUAGAAGAAAUAAAAAAAAAGAAAAAAUUUGCUUAAAGAUAUCGUAAUGUAGGAUUAGGUUGUUGGUGAUUUAGAAGAUCACAAAGCCUACAAUCCUUAGCUGGUCUUAGCGGACGUACAGCCACACUGGGACUGAGACAAGGCCCUGACUUUCGUAAGGCUGCAGUGAGGAAUAUUGGACAAUGAGAGAAAUCUUGAUCCAGCAAUGUUGUAUGGAUGAUCAAAUGACGGCUUUAACAAAUCACGAAGUUGUAAAAUUCUAAAAUUAAAAAGGAAAAUGACGUUUUUAAUUAUUUAGCCCCGGCUAACCUCGUGCCAGCAGCCGCGGUAAUACGAGGGGGGCAAGUGUUAUUCAACAGAACUGGGUGUAAAGGGUUUUUAGACUAUUUUUUGUAUGUAUAUUCAUAAAUUACAAAAUCAAGCUUUGUAAUAUGUUUAUAAACUAUAAAAUUUUGAGUAAAAUUAAAGUUAGCAGUAUUUUUUAAGUAAAAGUGGCAUUUUACUAUAUAAAAAAAAGUAUCUAAGAUGAAAAUAGCUAACUAAAUUUAAACUGACGUUGAUAAAACUAAAGCAUGGGGAGCAAACAGGUUUAGGUAUCCUGGUAGUCCAUGCUAUGACUAAUGAAUGUUAAUUGUUUUAUUAUAAUGAAAUGAUUAAGCUAACGCAUUAAACAUUCCACCUGGGGACUACGAUCGCAAGAUUAGAACUCAAAGGAAUUGGCGGGGGCUUUUUACAAACGGUGGAGCAUGUGGUUUAAUCCGAUAAUCCGCGUAAAAUCUUACCAAUUUAUAUUAAAGGUGUUGCAUGGCUGUCGUCAGCUCGUGUCAUGAGAUAUAGUGUAUCAAAUUGCAUAUAACGAGCAAAACCCUUAUGUUUUUAUUAAAUAAAUAUUCUAUAAAAUUUUUAAAUUAUACAAUUUUAUUAUAUAAACAUUAUUUAAAAGAUUUUACGUAGAUUCAAAUAAUUGAAUUUCAUCUUUCAUAAUAAAAGUAGGCUUACGUCAAGUCGUCAUGGCCCUUUCAAAUUGGGCUACACAUGUGCUACAAUGGCAUAAACAACGAGAAGCAAAAAUGUAAAUUAUUAGCAAAUCUUUAAAAAUUGUCUAAGUUCGGAUUGAAAAAAUUGAAAUUCAUUUUCAUAAAGAUGGAAUCGUUAGUAAUCGUAAAUCAGCACGUUACGGUGAAUAGUUUUGAAGUCUUGCACACACCGCCCGUCACGUCAAGGAAAUGAAAUUGGCUAUAUCACAUAAUAUAACUAACAAUAAAAUCUAUAUUAAAAUAAAAUUUUAUAUAAAAUAAUAUAUAAUUUUUGUUUUGUCUAUAUUUUAUUAUAUGAGUGCUAUUAACAAAUUUGUGACCCUGAUGAAGUCGUAACAAGGUAAUCGUAGGGGAACUUGCGGUUGAAUUAAAUAAACA
This 1614-nucleotide non-coding RNA is filed under the name Cafileria marina. RNAcentral describes it as "small subunit ribosomal RNA". It matches the Rfam family "Bacterial small subunit ribosomal RNA". The record is from RNAcentral. Lineage: Eukaryota; Bigyra; Bicosoecida.